ACAAACAAAGGUAGUUAGCAAGUAAGAGAAACUGGGCAAGAAAGAGAGAUGUCAAACCAACUCCUUAUACUGCAGACUUCUAAGUUCAAGGACAAGUCGAGAGCCUCCUGUGCCUCACCCUGAUCAAGGCCCAGCUGCUCACACACAGGUUUCCAGAUCCAUAGAGGUUUUAAUGUUGCAGAUCAUGCUCCCUGGGAAGCAGACUACAUACAG
This is a long non-coding RNA of Lontra canadensis (Northern American river otter), 213 nucleotides long. RefSeq lists it as uncharacterized. NCBI's taxonomy places the organism in Eukaryota, Metazoa, Chordata, Mammalia, Carnivora, Mustelidae. The transcript is spliced from 3 exons. The record is from RefSeq and is a predicted model, not a curated record.